CUGCUACAACCACAGAAACCACCACCACUGCAUCAACAGAUCCUCCUACAUCCAGUGAAGGAACUGUCGACCUUAAGUUUAGUCUCAACCAAACAUUCUCAUCAGAUCUCUCCAACUCAUCCUCAGAGGCGUAUCAGAUUUUAGUCGCAAAGGUGGUCAAAGAGCUAAACGGAGUGGGUGCAAAUGUGUAUGGACCAUCUUUCCUUCGCUCCAUCGUUAACGCACUAACGAAUGGAUCAGUGGUUGUCGACUCGACCCUUGUGUUCAAAGAUAAAAACUCAGUUCCUUCAGCAAGCAAUGUAACUUUAGAAUUCACCAAUGCGCUUACAAGCCCUUCUUCCUCCCUGAACGUUAUAUCCACCAGCGUUU
Long non-coding RNA from Sebastes umbrosus (honeycomb rockfish), 369 nucleotides. RefSeq lists it as uncharacterized. The record is from RefSeq and is a predicted model, not a curated record. The transcript has 3 exons. Lineage: Eukaryota; Metazoa; Chordata; Actinopteri; Perciformes; Sebastidae.